AACGAACGCUGGCGGCAGGCCUAACACAUGCAAGUCGAACGCUCUUUUCGGAGAGAGUGGCGCACGGGUGAGUAACGCGUGGGAAUCUGCCCUUUGGUUCGGAAUAACCCUGGGAAACUAGGGCUAACACCGGAUGAGCCCCGAGUUCCGCGAGGGAGUUGGGGAAGUUACGCCGAGGAGGAGCCCGCGUCCGAUUAGCUAGUUGGUGAGGUAAGAGCUCACCAAGGCUUCGAUCGGUAGCUGGUCUGAGAGGACGAUCAGCCACCACUGGGAC
RNAcentral lists this ribosomal RNA (274 nucleotides) under uncultured bacterium. RNAcentral describes it as "partial 16S ribosomal RNA". It matches the Rfam family "Bacterial small subunit ribosomal RNA", at positions 29 to 319 of the family's 1533-position model. The record is from RNAcentral.